GCCGGGUGUGGUGGUGCACACCUGUAAUCCCAGCUACUUGGGAGGCUGAGACAUGGGAAUUGCUUGAGCCUGGGAGGCGGAGCUUGCAAUGGGCCGAGAUAGCACCACUGCACUCCAGCCUGGGCAACAGAGCAAGACUCUGUCUCUC
This is an unclassified non-coding RNA of Papio anubis (olive baboon), 148 nucleotides long. It matches the Rfam family "Metazoan signal recognition particle RNA". Rfam says of the family: The signal recognition particle (SRP) is a universally conserved ribonucleoprotein. It is involved in the co-translational targeting of proteins to membranes. The record is from Ensembl. NCBI's taxonomy places the organism in Eukaryota, Metazoa, Chordata, Mammalia, Primates, Cercopithecidae.